Astyanax mexicanus (Mexican tetra) is the source of this 1404-nucleotide long non-coding RNA. RefSeq lists it as uncharacterized. The record is from RefSeq and is a predicted model, not a curated record. NCBI's taxonomy places the organism in Eukaryota, Metazoa, Chordata, Actinopteri, Characiformes, Acestrorhamphidae. The transcript is spliced from 2 exons.
CCCCCCAAUAUCAAACCUGCUCCUACGUCCUUGUUAGCAAGGCACACUAGAUGUGCUGCAGCAGCAGUUCAGUUCAUUGAGUCUUCAGCACAGUACGCACAGCAACUUCUCCCCGUGUCCCACCAGCCAGGUAACAUACACAUCAAGUAAAAUCCUACUGUUUGCCCUCUAAACCCAACCUGAAAUCAGUUUGUUGUGCAGUAAAAUGUCUCAUAUAGCACCAAACUACUAUGUAUUUUAUCAGUUGGUGGUGUGACAUUUUUCCAUUGACAACUCACGUUUAGACACAUUAUGUUACAAAUAAAAGUCAAAUUUCAUUCAAUAUGUGCGUGUAAUUAUUUUUAUAAUGAAGUGUUCCACGUGCGCUAAAAAGUGCCCUUUUCCCCCCUGAGCACUUGCCCCCCAAAAUGUCUGUGCACGCCACUGACUUAUUUAUACGAGGGGAUCUGUCCUCCUCAACUUAUAAAUGAAUGUUAAAAACUUAGGUCUUAUAUAUUUAGGUGAAUAUCCGUAUCAGCAAAGGAAGCAUUUAGGAAAUUACUAGUAAGAGUUAAUGUAAACUUCAGUGUAGUCAGUAGUGGAGAGUAAGCCACUAGUCCGAGGCAGGUGGCAAAAACGACAGCUGACCUGCAGUGGGUGAUGUGAAAGACUGAGACUUUGAACUGCUGCUGAUUCAGCAUUGCCAAAUAGCCAGCACAAAGCACAGCAACUCAGUUCCAAUACAUCAGAUAACAGUAGCCUUGUGCUGAUCGAAAUACAGUUUGGAGUUAUGAGGGAAACCCUCCAAAAGCUAACCUAAUCAAGACUGUGUCUCAGCCCUGAAUAUUUUAAGGAAAUUGGAAUUUUACAGAGUUGGGGAGCUUUAUGACAAUAUGUACUUCAGAAUUGGGGAGAUUAAAGAGCAAAGGAUGGGUCAGUGUAGUAUUCGGGCACAGACACAGAUGAGCAAGCAGAGUUGUAGGGUAUACUGGAGGUCAGGUCUGGAGCGGAGUAGAGUUUAAAACAUUACCAAUUAAAAGCUGCAGGCUGUGUAGACCAGCACUGAACAACACACACUCUGUUUUUCUGUUUGAACAGAUCUGUUUAAAAUAGACUAUUAUUCGUUCUAUAAAACCACAUUCAGUUACAUUAGCUUGCUAGUACUUAUAUUAUGCAAUUAUGCUUUUUUUAUUCUCUCUCUUUCUCCCUCUUCCACUUUCUUUCAGGCCGCUGCCCCUCGACCCCAGCCUGGGGUGAAAGGCUCAGGAGGAUCUGUUGCAGGUUGGCCGGUGGUGGGUUUGGCCAAGGAUCACCCAGAGUUCAAUUCAUGACAUCCUGCUGAUCAGUAGAAUAAGUAUUCUGUUUAGAAGAAACUUGUUUAGAGUUGAUAAUUUAAAACCUAAAAUGUUUUUUUUUUGUGUUUUU